UAUCUUCUCUUUGAAGAGUAUCAGUUUUUGGGUGUUUGUUUUGUUCUUUAUGGUAUGAACUUGCUUUAUAUAUCAUUAUAUCUCCCGAAUCCUUCUUGUGAUAUGUUUAUUUUAAUUGAUCAAUUUUAGUUGCUGGAGAAUCUUUAGGUAGGAGUCGAUUACAUAUAUCUACCAAUUGAACUGACUGAAUACAAUCUCCAAUUUCCAUCAUCAUGAAUAACUUUUCCCUUGCUUCCUCCACCACAUACUGCUGCUCUACUUUCUCUGGUAAGCCUUACUCCCUUUCCUCCACUCUCCCUUUCUACUCCAUCACCGCUUGCUCCCAUGACUCUGAAAACCCCACCACCACCUCCACCUCCACCUCCACCUCCACCUCCACCUCCACCUCCUCAUCCCUCCGCCGCCCCACCAACAACAAACCACCCUUCAAACCCAUCACCACGAAUCCCCACCCUCCAAAACCCAAAACCCACAUCACCAAUCCCCUUCAAACACUUAAAAGAAACCCAAUUGGUAAUAAUAACAACUCACAAACCCUAACAGAGAAGCUCUGGUUAACCAGCAAACUCUCUCCCCCACCUCCACCUCCACCUCCGCCUCCACCAGCUCCACCACAACCACUGCCAGAUUCUUCUGCAUACAAAACUGAUUUG
This 653-nucleotide long non-coding RNA is filed under the name Lactuca sativa (garden lettuce). RNAcentral's name for it is "long non-coding RNA (LSAT_LNC009348)". The record is from RNAcentral. Lineage: Eukaryota; Viridiplantae; Streptophyta; Magnoliopsida; Asterales; Asteraceae.